GGGAAAUGAUUACAAAAGGAGACAGAAUGUGGAUUAAUGUUUGUUUCAUUGAAAUGUCAUUUCAUCUCAAUCUAUGGAUGAAUGUUCUUUUUUCAUUUAUUUGUUGUUUCGUCUAAAGGUGUGGGACUGGGAUUGGGAUCCCAUAUAGAAUGAAGAUAUUGGGGUGGGAGUCUGUGGUGUGGUUUAUGUAAACAUUUCGUUGUUUCCCAGACGUUUCA
Molecule: unclassified non-coding RNA, 218 nt
Filed under: Hevea brasiliensis (rubber tree)
Lineage: Eukaryota; Viridiplantae; Streptophyta; Magnoliopsida; Malpighiales; Euphorbiaceae
Source: RNAcentral